AGGAGCUUCCGCGAGGCUCGCCCGGCAGCUCCUGCUCCACAGCAGGCUUCCUACUUUGACGCCUCACGCGCUCUUCAGCUCUCUUUUUCUGUGGGUCUCGCGGCUCUCCCCCUCUACAAUUACGAGUAGUGCCUUGAGCCGGGCGUUCGGAGACCCACACAGGAGGGACAGGAUGGGGAGAGCGGCAUUAAAGGGUGGUGACUCAGGAGUUCAAGACCAGCCUGGCCAACAUGACGAAACCCCGUCUCUACCAAAAAUACAAAAAUUAGCCAGGCAUGAUGGCGGACGCCUGUAAUCCCACCUACUCGGGCGGCUGAGGCAGGAGAAUCGCUUGAACCCGGGAGGCGGAGGUUGCAGUGAGGCGAGAUAGCGCCACUACACUCCAGCCUGGGCGACAGAGCGAGACUCCGUCUCAAAAUAAAAAUAAAAAAAAAAUAAAGGCGGGGUGGUGGUGGUGACAAGCCCCUAUUACGGCCUUAGUGCGGGAUUCCCCUUGGGGCGGGAGACGUCGUCCUUCCGGGUGCGGGUGCGGACUGCAAGUCCUAUCGGGGACCGCGACACCGGACUGCAUCCGCCAGCGUCCAGGGCGUAGCGCCCCCCAGGCGCUGCCUUCGUCCAUCUCUACGGGGAGUGGCGGCCAGAAGACUGGGUUUUCCCCGUGCAGCUGUGCCCCACGUUGGGGAAACUGACUUUUCAGAGUAAAAGCCAAGACCUUAAAAUGGUUCCAAAGUCCCAACAUAAUCUGGCCCCGUUACUCCAGGAACACUGGCCUUUUUGCUGUUUUCCAAACCUGCCAGAUGGCCUCACCCCUUAGUGCCAUCCAGUGAUGAAGUCACCAGGUGGAGGUGGUGCUGGCUAAAACUCGAAGAUUAUUCCUUUACUCUGAGAAUCUCCUCAACAUCCACCAUUCCUGCUAUCUGGAACUCAAGUCAUCAGCAUACAGAACUACAAUCAGAAAAAGAGUCAGCCCCACUGUAGGCCCCCAAAUACUAAGGGACAAAAUGUUGCAUCUUCUGAUUCUAAAGCCCAUUCUCUUUCCACUAUAUCAAUAACCCUCAAAUUCAUGCCAAAUGUACAUUAGUUUUUGUGUCUGGUACUUUCCUUCUUAGAGUGCUUGGGGAGGAUGGUGGGAAGGAAUGAAGAGGACAAGGACAGACUCGUCUGCCUCAAUACAUCCACAUAGUGGACACCACUGUCUUUUGGGAAGCUUCCCCCUCUCUCAGGAGUACGUGAGUAAGUUGUUUCCCUGGCUACCUUCCUGGGGAACCAAAGUUUGCGGGGAAAGAACACAUCAAAGUGCUUGUUGCAAAGAAGAACCUCCUCUUUAUUCCACAUAUAGAAGCUGUGUUUCCAGAGCUGGGAAAGGGCUUCGACCUGGCCCUACCUCUGUGUGGGCCUAGAGAUGAAGGUCUAGGGCCGGGCGUGGUGGCUCACACCUGUAAUCCCAGCUACUUGGGAGGCUGAGGCAUGAGAUUUGCUUGAACCCGGGAGGCGGAGGUUGCGGUGAGCUGAGAUCGUGUCAUUGCACUCCAGCCUGGGCAAUAAGAGUGAAACACCGUCUCAAAAAA
RNAcentral lists this long non-coding RNA (1568 nucleotides) under Homo sapiens (human). RNAcentral's name for it is "HSALNT0397872". Lineage: Eukaryota; Metazoa; Chordata; Mammalia; Primates; Hominidae. The record is from RNAcentral.